CCUACGGGAGGCAGCAGUAGGGAAUUUUGCGCAAUGGGCGAAAGCCUGACGCAGCAACACCGCGUGAAUGUUAAGCCCUUCGGGGUGUAAAGUUCUGUCAAUAGGGACGAAUUUUGACUGUACCUAUAAAGGAAGCACCGGCUAACUCCGUGCCAGCAGCCGCGGUAAUACGUAGGGAGCAAGCGUUGUUCGGAAUGACUGGGCGUAAAGGGUGCGUAGGCGGUUGUACAAGUUAGAAGUGAAAUACCCAGGGCUUAACUCGGGUGCUGCUUCUAAAACUGUAUGACUUGAGUGCAGUAGAGGUUAGUGGAAUUCCUAGUGUAGCGGUGGAAUGCGUAGAUAUUAGGAGGAACACCAGAGGCGAAGGCGGCUAACUGGACUGCAACUGACGCUGAGGCACGAAAGUGUGGGGAGCAAACAGGAUUAGAUACCCCUGUAGUC
Molecule: ribosomal RNA, 441 nt
Filed under: uncultured bacterium
Lineage: Bacteria
Description: partial 16S ribosomal RNA
Rfam family: Bacterial small subunit ribosomal RNA
Source: RNAcentral